CUGCUGCCUCCCGUAGGAGUCUGGGCCGUGUCUCAGUCCCAGUGUGGGGGGCCUUCCUCUCAGAACCCCUACGCAUCGUCGCCACGGUGGGCCGUCACCCCGCCGUCUAGCUAAUGCGCCGCAUGCCCAUCCGCCACCGGAUCGCUCCUUUGGCCACCCGGAGGAUGCCCUCCGGUGGCGUCACGGGGUAUUAGGCCGCGUUUCCGCGGGUUAUCCCCCUGUGGCGGCCAGGUUGCAUACGUGUUACUCACCCGUGCGCCGGUCGCCGGCGGG
Molecule: ribosomal RNA, 273 nt
Filed under: uncultured bacterium
Lineage: Bacteria
Description: partial 16S ribosomal RNA
Source: RNAcentral